This is a long non-coding RNA of Eleginops maclovinus (Patagonian blennie), 1300 nucleotides long. RefSeq lists it as uncharacterized. The transcript has 5 exons. NCBI's taxonomy places the organism in Eukaryota, Metazoa, Chordata, Actinopteri, Perciformes, Eleginopidae. The record is from RefSeq and is a predicted model, not a curated record.
UGCAGUAUCCCUCCGCAGCGCCAGGCGGCGGUGCUGAGCUCAGUGAUAGAAACCACAGAAGAAGAAGCAGAACGUAAACAGACGCCUUUCUGUCGCAGUUUCUUCGUUAAAGUAGGAAUAUAAAAGAUGUUGAGCCUCAGCAGACGGGAUGUAACCGGGAUCUACUCUCUGGUGUUGCUGGCUGUGGUGGUUUUAUCCUGGACCUACGUCAUCUACGCAAGCAGGGUCGCAGCUGAUUGGCUGCUGGAGGCAAGACCCGCCCUCCUGCAGCAGCACUGACAGCUGAUUGGCUGCUGGAGGAAAGACCCGCCCUCCUGCAGCAGCACUGACAGCUGAUUGGACAGAAAGUGCCUGCAGACGGAUUGAACCCCCUCCUCGCUGAGACCUCCAGAACCUCGUCAUCAACAGACCGGCAGCACAAACCGCUCUGAGGGAAAGAUCCAGCAGGACAGAACCUCUCAGACUCGUUGUGUUUGUGCUGAAAGUCUGCUGGGACCACUUCGUUGUUACAGCUCGUGUCUGAAUAUUAUUUUGAGUUUUAAAAUAAUGAAUGCGACGCAUAGAUCCGGAGAGGAGAGGUCUCCUUUGUAAUUAAUCCUGUUUCAUUAGGCAGUGCGGUUCAUGAGCAGAAAGUACAGCCCUGAUCCCUCCACCUGUUGUGUUUUCACCUCAUUAAUAAACACUUAUGUAACCUCGUUAGCGUCAGCAAGCUUCUCCUCCUCCUCCUGCGCUCUGAUUGGCUGAUGACACGGACGCCACGUCCAGCAGCGGCCAAUCAGAUGCACUGUGAACAAAGAGCAAGCCGGUGAAUGGAAACGCAUUGAGAGGGUCCUGUGAUGUAUUCAUGAAAGGGAAGCAGCGGCUCUCAAAGGUGUGCUGCGGGCUGUCGUCGGGCAGACAUCCCGGGAUGGAGGAGAACAGCCGCUCCUCAUCCUCCUCCUCCUCCUCCUCUUCGUUGGUGUGUUUGGACGCCCCCCCGUCCCUACAGAGCAGGGUGUUCUUCUUCCCCUCCAGCCAGUACGUCACCAUGUCCCCUUUCCCCUUCACAGAGAUAUUCAGGUUCAUUUAUGGAUUCACAGAACAGCCCAAUGUGUUUUAUGACAGGUCUCAGUUUUAUUUCCUGUCCCUAAAACCUCCUGACGAAUGAAGGAGUCCAGCCUCUCAAUAAAAACAGUUGUGUGGGUUUAAUAUUUACAAAAGAGCCAAAUGUUACUCUCUAAAAUCUGUGUUCUUGAAUCUCAGGUCGUUUUGAAAUGAAAUGUAUUCAUAUUUAAUUUCCUAUAAUAAAUAUGUCUAUGAA